AGCAUUGAAGAAUAUAUGAAUAAAGUGUUGGUGUUCAAGGUGAAAUUGGUGUGGUGUUGCGUGGUCGUUUCAAGGUUUUUGGAUUUCAAGGUCGAUUGCUGAGAGUGUUAAGGGGGGGGUAUUGUGUGUGAUCAAAUUGUUUUUCCUGAAGGCGAUUGGAUUUCAAGGUCGGACGCUGAGAACAAAGGGGGGUUUAAUGUUUGUGUUCUUCUGGGGGAUGGGGUGCCACUGGCGGUGCCAGUUCAGCGCUGAGAGUGUAAAAAAUGGGUUGCGUAAUUUUUCGGCUGCCGUCUCAAGAUUGAGGGUAAAACGUAAUUAUUCUUCUUGCCGGCUUCGUAUCUCAAAGGCCGAGAGCGCGCCGGGGGUCGAGAGAACAAAGGGUGUAUUGUUUGUGGUCAAGGUCAAACGUGGUGCAAUUCUUAGGCUAUCGAGGGAUGGUUUGCGACUUGGAGAGUGGGGGGUGUAAUAUAAGAGGAGAUGUCAAGAGUAAUUGUUCAUCAUCAUCAUCAGCAGCAGCAGCAGCGGCAGAAACGGAAAAAAAGAAUUGACAAGCUGGUAAAGAAAAUUAGAAAAUUAAAGUGGGAUGUGGAAAUUUUGGGUUGUCGGCGCAGUAUGGAAAAAUUGAUGUUGGGAGGCCUACUGGCGAUUUGUGGUGAAUAUGUGGCGAACGGCUGUUGAAUGCCUUCAUCAAACCUUAUUGGUAUUACUAUCUGAUGCUGAGCAUGAGGCGGUGUAUGGACCUGAGACUUUUAGGGAACAGUGUCAAAACAUUGCCCAAAGGUAUGAGUUGGGGAUUGAAAUAUGUAGACGCUUUUUAAAUUAUAAAAUAUCCGUUUAUUGCCUUAUGAACGGACUAAACGUGGCUCAGUUGGGUGAAUACAUAAUAUGGUGAUGAAGAAAGUGACAUUUGACGAUAGUAACAAUCGCGUGUAUGUGCUGAUCGCGUGGUCAUGUGCAUAUAAUGAAGCGCGAAAAGGGCCUUGGAUAGAUUUCGCUUUAGUAGGAAAAUAGAGCAAUUUUGUAAGAUAUUGUCUCUCGUCUUAGCAGAAAAUCAUCGAUCAUCGGUUUAUCGCACUAGAUUUCAUGGUCAACAUCAGACCGCAAUAUAAUGGUAUAUAUCGCACUGGAUUUCAAGGCCACCAUACAGCAAUGUAAUGGUUUAUCGCACUCUAGAUUUCAAGGUCAUCAGCCAGCAAUAUACUGGUGGUAGAAAACGGUGCCUGGAAUCAGUCGAAUGGUGUUGACUAAUCAGUUAAAAUGGAUCUUAAUCGACUCAACAGUAGCACCUACUGCAAACCUUUCAAGAACGUCAAGGAUAUGAAGGUUGGUGAAAAGUAUAAAGUGAUUGGUAUCGAUCUAAUCAAUACCAAGUAUGGCGAUCGAAUACUGAUCGAUACUGAGAACUUUAAGUGCAUCCUUCCUUUGCGCUUUUAUGAGUACUUCAAGAGCGACAACUGUCUGCAGAUCUUCAAGGACUUCUUGUCCAGGGAAGAAGUCUUUAUAACAAGCGCUGGAACGGCGGGGAAGACUACUAAUUUAACAUUUAUGUAAAAAAGUUGUAAAUGAGAGAGAGAGAGAGAGAGAGAGAGAGAGAGAGAGAUAAUAAAUGUUGUUCACGAGAGAGAAAUUGGGUCUCUUAUUUAAAUGCACAUCCCACUCUCGAGAUCAUCUCAACGAAAAAAAAAAAAGGCUCCAAAAUGUGGUGACGAGGAUGAGGGCGACGAUGACAACAUCUAUCGCGAUAUUGAAGAUGUGUUAAACUAUAAGUUUAACGUAAAUUCUCACAAUACAGUUUGCAAGAUGGAAUUAUUAUACUAUCGACCUACUUAUUUUAUGUAUCACAUAUGUCAAUAAACGUACUCUAUUUGA
Molecule: long non-coding RNA, 1869 nt
Organism: Photinus pyralis (common eastern firefly)
Lineage: Eukaryota; Metazoa; Arthropoda; Insecta; Coleoptera; Lampyridae
Exons: 2
Source: RefSeq, a predicted model, not a curated record